CUGCAAGCCUCCAGCAUGCUUGGGUCUGGGGUGACCCUGUGCAUUCCUACAGUGCUUGCUAGGACAUUUUGGAAUGGUUUGAGGCCUUGCCCUGCUGCUUCUGGAGCAAGGUUAUAGAAAUUUCAGACAGUC
Non-coding RNA from Myotis davidii, 132 nucleotides. Lineage: Eukaryota; Metazoa; Chordata; Mammalia; Chiroptera; Vespertilionidae. The record is from Rfam.